RNAcentral lists this long non-coding RNA (665 nucleotides) under Fukomys damarensis (Damara mole-rat). RNAcentral's name for it is "lncRNA (ENSFDAG00000026111.1)". The record is from RNAcentral. Lineage: Eukaryota; Metazoa; Chordata; Mammalia; Rodentia; Bathyergidae.
GGUUUUCAAAUAACGUGUCAUCUUGGUUUUAGCCCUCCAAAAGUUGACUCAAAGAACUAGGGUGCAGAGUGUUGGUCUGGGGUGAUCCCAGGAAAAACUGGAGUGGAAAAUAAGAUGAGGAAGAGGAAACAGUGAAUAAAGGGAGUGUGACUGUGUCGGUUAUUUUUGCUGUGUAACAAAUAACCCUCCCAAACUAGUGGUGGAAAACAAUAAUAAUUCUUUUCAUUAUUUCUAUGUCUCAGGAAUGAAAACAGUAAGGGAAGAUCAACUCUGUUGCACAAUGUCUGGGCCCCAGCUGGAAAACCCAAAAGCUGGGGCUGGCAACCCAUGAGCACCCCGGGCAGCUGGUGCUGGCUGCCUGUUGGGCGCCUGGCUGUGCUGACCGCUGAACCCCACAUAUGGCCUGCAGGACACACACUUGGAACAGACUGCAGCUGCCGGAGGACGCUGUCAGGCGGAGCUGUCACCUUGUGAGGCCGGAUGGGACACGAAGGAGCAGGGACACUCUCCCAUGUGAAAAUGGAUCAUUGAUGACCACGGCUCUGUCCGUCUGCGCCAGGAGCUGCUCGGGCCACACUGUACAGAACAGAGCAGGCAGCACUGUGGGGCUCACAAAGCCAGGGUUGCCAGGCAGCCAGCAGGUGAGUACAGGCUCAUGGGGGACA